GGCUUUUUGAAUAUAAUUUAAGGUCGGGCCUGCCCAAUGAUUAAAUUAAAUGGCCGCGGUAUAUUGACCGUGCAAAGGUAGCAUAAUCAUUAGUUUUUUAAUUGAAAGCUUGUAUGAAAGGUUUAAUGAGAAAAAUACUGUCUCUAUUUAAAUUUAUUAAAAUUUUAUUUUUAAGUAAAAAAGCUUAAAUAUAUAUUGAAGACGAGAAGACCCUAUAGAGUUUUAUAUUUUGUUUGGCAAAUAAUUAUUUAGAAUUUUAAAGAUUUGUUAAACAAAGUAUUUGGUUGGGGUGAUUAAAAAAUUAAUAAAACUUUUUUUGUAUUUUUACAUUGAUAAGUGAGCAAUUGAUCCUUUAUUUAAGAUUAGAAGAUAAAAUUACCUUAGGGAUAACAGCGUAAUUUUUUUUAGAGUUCUUAUCGAAAAGAAAGAUUGCGACCUCGAUGUUGGAUUAAAAUUAAUUAUUGGUGUAGAGGCUAAUAAAUUAGGUCUGUUCGACCUUUAAAUUUUUACAUGAUCUGAGUUUAAACCGGUGUAAG
Molecule: ribosomal RNA, 536 nt
Filed under: Acalles globulipennis
Lineage: Eukaryota; Metazoa; Arthropoda; Insecta; Coleoptera; Curculionidae
Description: partial 16S ribosomal RNA
Rfam family: Bacterial large subunit ribosomal RNA
Source: RNAcentral